This 2730-nucleotide long non-coding RNA is filed under the name Homo sapiens (human). RNAcentral describes it as "HSALNT0274356". Lineage: Eukaryota; Metazoa; Chordata; Mammalia; Primates; Hominidae. The record is from RNAcentral.
CGCUGGUGAUGGGAGUGGCUUUCUGCUGGCCCUGGUGAUGGCAGCCGCAGCACGCGAGGGACCGCAGUGUCUGAAGGAGACAGUGGAGAUUUCCUCUGGAAGACAUCCCGCUGGAUGAAAAGGAAGCAGCUCAGUGGCUUCAUAAACUGUACCAGGAGAAGGACGCGCUCCAGGAGAUAUAUAAUCAGAAGGGCAUGUUUCCAGGGGAGCAGUUUAAGCCUGCCCGGAGGCCGUGGACCCUCCUGAACUUCCUGUCCUGGGCCACCAUUCUCCUGUCUCCCCUCUUCAGUUUUGUCUUGGGCGUCUUUGCCAGCGGAUCACCUCUCCUGAUCCUGACUUUCUUGGGGUUUGUGGGAGCAGCUUCCUUUGGAGUUCGCAGACUGAUAGGAGUAACUGAGAUAGAAAAAGGCUCCAGCUACGGAAACCAAGAGUUUAAGAAAAAGGAAUAAUUAAUGGCUGUGACUGAACACACGCGGCCCUGACGGUGGUAUCCAGUUAACUCAAAACCAACACACAGAGUGCAGGAAAAGACAAUUAGAAACUAUUUUUCUUAUUAACUGGUGACUAAUAUUAACAAAACUUGAGCCAAGAGUAAAGAAUUCAGAAGGCCUGUCAGGUGAAGUCUUCAGCCUCCCACAGCGCAGGGUCCCAGCAUCUCCACGCGCGCCCGUGGGAGGUGGGUCCGGCCGGAGAGGCCUCCCGCGGACGCCGUCUCUCCAGAACUCCGCUUCCAAGAGGGAGCCUUUGGCUGCUUUCUCUCCUUAAACUUAGAUCAAAUUUUUUGGUUUUUAAUCAGUUAUCUUGGGAACUUAACCUGGCCCCUCACCUCUUCUGCACCCCCCGCCCCCGAAACUGUCUCGUAAUGAAUUUCUGCUGUCCUCCUGGGAGUGGACGGCCGGGUCCCGUCCCCCGGGAGCAUCGCUCGGCUCAGCACCUUGGCUCCCAGUGGGGGCCCCGUGGAGGGCGCCCGUAGUGAUAAGCACACCGGCACGAACGUCAGGUCCAUUCCUCGAAGUCGGAGCCCUCACUCUGCCCUGUCCUGGGGCUGGCUGAGGGCGAACGCCCCACCUCACUUUCUAGAGCCCUGUCUGUCCUAGCUCCUAUCUGACCUUGUGUGUAAAUACGUACAUCUGUUUUUAAAGUGGAUGGGCCCCUGAGAACUCAGUGAAAUGCAGAGUUCUCCAUGCACCUAAAGCUCCUUUGUCGCUCUCAUGGCUGUCAGAUCCUGGUCCCUCCACACUGGGUGCUGGGGAGGGAGGACCCUCGGGGCUACCGCGCGCCCCCCCAUCCCACAGAUCAGGAGCCAAGGAGGGAGAACAGGGCAGCCUGUGGGACUCUAGGAUGCUUCAGAAGAAGCGACGGCACCGUCAACCCUCUGUUUUUUAAAGGUGGUUGGAGACUGUUAACACUGAGCUCAUUGACUUCUAGAGAUUUUAUUUUUACUGGUUGAUCUCUUGGUGGUUUUCAACUUCCUGCUGGAAACUAGAGGUGGGGCACCCCCCACCCCCCAGCCUCGCACUGUGUCCUUGGGGAAGGCCCGCCCCCAUCCUGGCCGGUGUCACUGUGGCCCGGCCACCCCUGAGCGCCCAGCUCCCUACCUCCUGGACGUCUCUGAGAGUCCAGGCAGAGCAGAGGGCAGCGCUCGGCCGGUCAUGCUGGCUCCCUUGGCCUUGCAGCGAGCCCCUGGCCCACGCCGAGCGAGGGAUGCUUCUCCCUACAGCAUGUCCACUCCCCCGGCAUGGCCAGGUGGGGCCCCUGGGGCAAUGGCAGUGGUAGAACGCUCAACUUGGUUGCGGUACCAUCAGCCCACCUGCAUUUGGCUUUCGACUUGCUUGUUCUAAGUCACAGCGCCCUCAUCUUUUUAGCAAGGUAAAAAAACCAAAAUGGGUGUUAUCUCUGAUAUCUUGAAACCAGCGUUCUGAAUAGAGGUAGGUUGAGUUUUCUAGGGGAAAACAAAUGGAGAAAAGAGGCAUGAAGAAAAGUAAACCGAGAACAUAAUUAGGCAUCGGGCCUAAGUGUCCUGGGGAGAUUGGAGGGGACGGCAGCGUUCUGCAUGAUGGAGGCGCUGCCGGGCCCCGGGUCUGUGGGGGCCGUGCUCUCAGGGCGUGUGCGGGACGCCACCUGUGCACACCUGCUCAGAGCACGGCUCCUCGCAGGGGUGAAGGGGCAGACCAACGAAACCAGAUGAGACCAACGACACCAUGCGAGACACGCUUGCAGACACUGUUGUUUUGGAAAUGUGCUUCCCUCCAUCUGAAAUCUCAUCCCUCCACCCGCCCACUCGGGCAGCUGUGCCGUGGGCAGGGCAUGCGCUCCCCUGGCUGAGCACCCCAGAGAUUCUCCUGCACCUUCCUCAUGCCGCACGCUGCUCAUCCGUCUCCAUGUGUGUUUAGAUCCAUGCCAUUCACUGACUCACUAACACCUGCAAAAUCUUUAAGGAAAAAAGCUGAAGGGUACGACCAUGCACAUAUGUGACCUGGAAAAUGCAAAUUUAGAUCUUUUAUGAUUUAAUUAUUAUUGUUUCCCAUAGAAGUUCCCUCCCUUUGAAAUUAAUAUAUAAUGUAUAAAUUCUGCACUGAGCCAUGGCGGAGCUGGGCAGCCCCUAGGUUAGAGUGGAGACGGAGGCCCAGGCGCAGGGGUCACACCUCAUCUGGUUUCCUUCCCAUCUCACAGCUUAGCUUGUGCUUCUCAACACCAAGUCUUUAAGAGCAAUAAAAACUACACCAUGAA